ACGGCACACACAUCUUGGCCGCGCAAGCAACUCCACUUUUCUCCCCCAACCACCCCGGCAGGUGAGGACUGAGGAGGCGAUCUCAUUUGCUGCAGAUUUUCCUGCAUCCGGAGUUGUUGAGGGGGCCCUCUUUACAUAUUUUAGGUCGCCAAAAUCUUCUAAUUAGUCGAGUCACAGGCCAAAUCAAUCUUAUAUAUUACACUCCAAGGCCAUAGGCCAAGCUCGGUACAAGCAGCUGGACUUGGUGUAGGUCUACUGUAUCAAAGAGAAGUUAUUGGCAUGGAAGAGAAGCUGAUCCUCCUAAGAAAUAUAGGUGAGCUCUGGAACUCGGUCAGGUAUUUGCAUAUACUCCGUCCAUUUUUUUUAUGUCGUAUAAUCCUCUGGUGCACAGACCAAGAAGAUGGUUAAUUGUGAGUCCAAGUGCUCCGCGCUUUUCUUGCUCUGUACUAACUAUUGUGCUGAAGCCUCUUGGCUUUCACUCUUCUUAUUAAUACAAUGGGCAGCUCUCCUGCCGGUUCCAUUUCAAAAAGAAAAGGCGCAGGCAUGCAGCCCGUCCGUUAACCUCCGCAUGCCGCGCGCUCCUUCCGCUCCGCCGCCGGCGCGCACGACGCCGCAGCGCUUGCUGUCGGCGGAGUCGUCGUACUCCCGGUGCCAUGCUCCUCGCUCUCGAAAGAAUCCGGCACAUAGUCCACGCCAUGCACGAGCUUGCUUCCUCCUUCCGCUCCACCGCCGGCACGCACGACGCCACCGCGCCCGCACUCGCCAUCGAGCUCCGCUGUGUUUCGAAUUGAGAAAUCUGCCAUCGCUAGUUUGCGGGCAGGAUGCAAAUUGCACGUAGUUUGCUGCUCAGCCCCGCACUCGCCAUUGAUUCAAUUUGCAUUCCAUGCCGAUUCAUUUCUCCGCAGAAUCGAGGCUUGUACAUGCAGUGCUUAACUGCAUCGGUUUUAAUUUUCUCCAAGAUCAAAGAGCGGACCAAUUUAUGACAUGUUUUCCGUCGUUUUUAGAAAAAUUAUAUGACACCUGAGGGAGUAGAAAGUAGCAUACUUAUAUUUUGGUAUUUUACCAAAAAGUGGCACCUCCCAUGUACUCUCUAGAUGGAUAGGAAAAAUUGUUCUUUCAGUGUCCAGUUAUGGUUGAGUUAGGACAUGUAUAUUGCCUUGAACCUCUACGCUAUGUUUUUUGUCCACGAACAUAACACUCCCCAAGGGCCAAGGCUCCUUGGUUAAACAUUCAACUUCGAGUAACUGCUGCUACCAA
Molecule: long non-coding RNA, 1257 nt
Organism: Panicum hallii
Lineage: Eukaryota; Viridiplantae; Streptophyta; Magnoliopsida; Poales; Poaceae
Exons: 2
Source: RefSeq, a predicted model, not a curated record